UACAGAGGUCCCGAGCGUUGUUCGGAUUCAUUGGGCGUAAAGGGUGCGUAGGCGGCGGGGCAAGUCUGAUGUGAAAUCCCGGGGCUCAACCCCGGAACUGCAUUGGAUACUGCCUUGCUAGAGUACUGGAGAGGGAACUGGAAUUUACGGUGUAGCAGUGAAAUGCGUAGAGAUCGUAAGGAAGACCAGUGGCGAAGGCGAGUUUCUGGACGGUAACUGACGCUGAGGCACGAAGGCCAGGGGAGCAAACGGG
This 253-nucleotide ribosomal RNA is filed under the name uncultured bacterium. RNAcentral's name for it is "partial 16S ribosomal RNA". It matches the Rfam family "Bacterial small subunit ribosomal RNA", at positions 524 to 776 of the family's 1533-position model. The record is from RNAcentral.